This 508-nucleotide ribosomal RNA is filed under the name uncultured bacterium. RNAcentral's name for it is "partial 16S ribosomal RNA". It matches the Rfam family "Bacterial small subunit ribosomal RNA", at positions 28 to 507 of the family's 1533-position model. The record is from RNAcentral.
GACGAACGCUGGCGGCGUGCCUAAUACAUGCAAGUCGAACGCUUCUUUCCUCCCGAGUGCUUGCACUCAAUUGGAAAGAGGAGUGGCGGACGGGUGAGUAACACGUGGGUAACCUACCCAUCAGAGGGGGAUAACACUUGGAAACAGGUGCUAAUACCGCAUAACAGUUUAUGCCGCAUGGCAUAAGAGUGAAAGGCGCUUUCGGGUGUCGCUGAUGGAUGGACCCGCGGUGCAUUAGCUAGUUGGUGAGGUAACGGCUCACCAAGGCCACGAUGCAUAGCCGACCUGAGAGGGUGAUCGGCCACACUGGGACUGAGACACGGCCCAGACUCCUACGGGAGGCAGCAGUAGGGAAUCUUCGGCAAUGGACGAAAGUCUGACCGAGCAACGCCGCGUGAGUGAAGAGGGUUUUCGGAUCGUAAAACUCUGUUGUUAGAGAAGAACAAGGACGUUAGUAACUGAACGUCCCCUGACGGUAUCUAAACAGAAAGCCACGGCUAACUACGUG